AUUCCAGCUCCAAUAGCGUAUAUUAAAGUUGUUGCAGUUAAAACGCUCGUAGUCGGAUUUCGGGGCGGCUUCGUCGGUCUGCCGAUGGGUAUGCACUGACGCGGGCGUCCUUCCUUCCGGAGACGCGUCCUACUCUUAGCUGAGCGGGGCGUGGAGACGGAUCGUUUACUUUGAAAAAAUCAGAGUGUUUCAAGCAGGCAUCAUCGCUCUUGCAUGGAUUAGCAUGGGAUAAUGAAAUAGGACCUUGGUGCUAUUUUGUUGGUUUCGAGCACCGGAGUAAUGAUUAAUAGGGACAGUUGGGGGCAUUAGUAUUUAAUUGUCAGAGGUGAAAUUCUUGGAUUUAUGAAAGACUAACUACUGCGAAAGCAUUUGCCAAGGAUGUUUUCAUUA
Molecule: ribosomal RNA, 390 nt
Filed under: Dicrateria sp.
Lineage: Eukaryota; Haptophyta; Isochrysidales; Isochrysidaceae
Description: partial small subunit ribosomal RNA
Rfam family: Eukaryotic small subunit ribosomal RNA
Source: RNAcentral